RNAcentral lists this ribosomal RNA (374 nucleotides) under uncultured organism. RNAcentral describes it as "partial 16S ribosomal RNA". It matches the Rfam family "Bacterial small subunit ribosomal RNA", at positions 527 to 896 of the family's 1533-position model. The record is from RNAcentral.
GUAGGUGGCAAGCGUUGUCCGGAAUUAUUGGGCGUAAAGCGCGCGCAGGUGGUUCUUUAAGUCUGAUGUGAAAGCCCCCGGCUCAACCGGGGAGGGUCAUUGGAAACUGGGGAACUUGAGUGCAGGAGAGGAAAGUGGAAUUCCACGUGUAGCGGUGAAAUGCGUAGAUAUGUGGAGGAACACCAGUGGCGAUGGCGACUUUCUGGCCUGUAACUGACACUGAGGCGCGAAAGCGUGGGGAGCAAACAGGGAUUAGAUACCCUGGUAGUCCACGCCGUAAACGAUGAGUGCUAAGUGUUGGGGGGGUUUCCCGCCCCUCAGUGCUGCAGCUAACGCAUUAAGCACUCCGCCUGGGGAGUACGGUCGCAAGACUG